This 4862-nucleotide long non-coding RNA is filed under the name Canis lupus familiaris (dog). Its description in RNAcentral is "lncRNA (ENSCAFG00845020130.1)". Lineage: Eukaryota; Metazoa; Chordata; Mammalia; Carnivora; Canidae. The record is from RNAcentral.
UUUUUUUAUUUUAAUUUUAAUUUUUUUUUUUAAUUUUUAUUUUUAUUUUGGCUGUGUUUUAAAAAGGAAAAAGGAACAGUUGAAAUGGAUUCUAAUGAUAUAUUUAAUCCUCUUGUUUCAACAUGUGAAAAGUAUUCAUGAAAUACUUCACAUUCUUUUUCGUACUAAGUCCUCCAAAUCCACCGUGAGUCCGCGCUCCCAGCCCGGCUCACGUUGGACCGGCUGCAGCCCCAGCCUCCUGCUCUGUCUCGACAGCUGCACGUGGCCCGUGGCUUCCAGCGCGACAGCACAGGUCCGGAGCUGCUCCGGCAUUCUCACCAGAUUCCCUGACCCUCUCAAAGAAAAAAAAAAAAAAAAAAAAAAGUCAAAACCUAAUUACCUCCAGAGAGAACUAGACUCCACCCAAGUUGCCUAAAGAGAGGCCCAAAGAUCUGUUUGUUCUGCAAUGAAUAGAUGUUCAGGCCAUUCUUUUAGAAAUUUCUGCUUGACCUUUCUAACCAUACACUGGUGUCCAUUAGUGAGUGUUGCUGUUACGUCUCUGACCAGUUGUUAUUUUAAGUCACAAAAAACCAUGUUGAUUCACUGCUGAGACAAAAGUAUCUCCCUCACUUCCGUGACAAACGCUUGGACUGCUACGUGGCACUCGGGAGCCAAGGAGAGCUCCAGGCUGUCGUCGAGCGACCUCACCUCCGGCCGCCGCUCUCCUGCCUCUGGGCUGGCCGAGGGUCUUUGCCCAGGGCCGGUGCGCCCUUGGGAUUGGAGGGCUCCGUCCGUACAGCAGGCGCCUCUCGAUCUUGGGGCUGCGAGUUUGAGCCCCACGUUGGGUGCAGAGAUGACUUAAAAACAACAGCUUAAGAAGAGGAAAGAAAAGGAAUAGUGGCCAAGGCAUCAACCGAUGCUGACAUCGCCUAGUCACGGUGGGAACCCUGGAGGCGGAUCCCUGUCCAAAGAGGUGUCCCUGUUGUGUUGUGCUGUGUUGUCAGCACGUCCCUCGUUCUGGACGUUCACGGGUCUGGGUUGGGUUUUGUCGAAAACCACAACACCCGGUGGCUCCUGCGGUCAUCCUGGCGGCCGCCACACCUUCAGAGCCAGAAAUGGUGACACGUAGCCUGACAUUGGUUCCUUCUCCUCCGUGAGUCUUGUUUAGGUGAACAGUCUUGCAGGAGGUAAAAAAUAAAUGGCAUUUAGUUAGCUGCUGAAUGCAUCGCCCUGACUGAAAACAAAGACAUCUCGUUAAAUGAAGAUUGUUUCAGAAAAUCUGAGAUACAGAGUCACGUCCUCUGUGAAGCAAGGACCCGGCCCUCGCGGUCCUGAGGCCCCUGCGGCGAUUUCCAGUAGCAUUUUUGUACGCUUUACCCUAGAUCUCUUUCCCUCCUCUCUCUCUCUCUCUGUCUGUAUCUGGCUUUCUCUGACUGUCUCUUCUUUACACCUACACACAUUCUUUUCCCAUCUUUAGGGACAAAAAAACCUUGGUGGCUCUGGAUCUAUAGACUUACCGUUGUGAUUGCCGCUGUUACGGUUGUUGAGGUCUUUCUUGUUCUUACCGUGCGGCAGUGUCUAUAUUUGCACUUCUGAUGAGGAAAACCAGUUUACUCUGAAGGCAAAUCAACUUCCUCCAUGAUGGAGUUAGCCAUGUUCUCACUUCUCCUCUCACUAAUUUAAUCACAGAAAAUUUAAUUUAUAGAUAGCUGUUGCCUUUUUUCCAGGCUUCCUUGCAGAAAAGUCUCCUAGGCAAAUAAUGGCAAAGUCACCGUUCCAGAAUGCCGUCUAGAUCUUUUAUCUUCUACUCUGAGCAUCUGUGACCUUCCUGGUUCACCCCGGGCCAUCAAGGUUAGGACUUCUUAGAAAGAUGUGGGGGUCGUACCAUAUCCGAUGUCCGCUCAUGCUUCCUUAACUCAGUUUCUUAGCGCAAGAACUUGCUCUUCGUAAGGGAUCUAAGAGGCCACUUCUUCCUUAAGAUUGGAAAAGGCACACAAAGAAACCAUUCUCCUCAGGUGAGGGACACAGAUUCCUUGGGCAGUGCUGAGUGUCACAGACGUGGAUUUGAUGAUGACAGUUCAUACGAGCCUGCAGGAAGUGAGAAAGAGGAUGGCAGGGUAUGAACAUGGCUUCCCUUCCCAAAUAAAUGCCCAUCCCCUAGGCUUAGAGCUCACCUGGCCUUUGGGGCCGGGGUGGGAGGGUGCACAUGUGUGUUUGAAGGAGUUUAACAGUCAUGAGGUAAACACUCAUGGUUGCAAAGAAGGUUGAGAAUGCCUGAAAGACAAAUUAAUUCUGAGAAGCUGGAAUGAGUUUCUCAGCAUCACUUACCUCUCCUCUUUGCCUGCUUGUCUCCCCAUCUCACAGCUCCAGGCCCUUUGUAAUGGGAACGGUAAUUGGUAAAAACCCAUAGAUUGGUAGCCACACUUCCACUUGGACCCUUUUGAUGACACGAAAUUAUCCCAAAACUAAAGAGGUGACUCCGGGUCCUAGAUGUAGAUCCAUAGAGAUCAAUGGCAAAACCUGCUUGUUGUGCGAAGAACUCGGUGAGGUCGCUCACAGCUCUCUUUGCCACCCUGCGAACUAUGCCUGCCUCAGUCAAGGGGCUUUUGCAGGAAUCUCAGUGAUCAAAGACCUUUCAUCCUUGUGCUACUAUUGAUGGACGUUUGCAGUUCCUCCAGAGCCAUUCGCUCAAUGGUCACCUGGUAAAUGUUUCCGGAUGCUAACGAUAAGGCAAGAACCUAGUCUCUGGAGAGGUCUGCGAGUCGGUACGGAGCCCGGGGGAGCUUCUGUGGAGAAGCAGCUCCACCCAGAUACCCCAGGAUCACCGCUUGGCAGAGAGGUCUGUGGGCCUGUCGUCCUCACUGGAUUGAAGGGCUUGGAGACGCAGGGAAAACGUGGGGACCACGUGUGCUCUGUAAACCAAAGACCGAUCACCAUCCACAUGGACACGCAUUCUUCCAUUGACUAGUUUCAUUUUUUCCUAAUAUUCCCAUGAAUAAAAGUGCAGGUGCGUUGCCUGGUCAGAUGAAACGGUGGAACUGUAGAGGGUUUAUCUCUUGCAGGCUGGUGAUCGACCUUACUAAAUCCCACAAUCUUAAAAAAAAAAUGUAUUGUGGCCUUAGUACCACAGCAUCUUCAAAGUCUGGUGUUUAGUCUCCUUUUCCCUCAAAAAGUUUGAGGCAAAACUAGUGCUUUAUCGAACUCGGAAUACUGUUGUCUUUGAGAAUGUGAAGAUUUUUACCUCGCCAAAGAAUGUUCGUGGAGGAGAGCUUCUUAAUUAGGGCGUAUCCGUGCUUUUGAAGAGAAUACCAAACCCUUGCUCGUCGGGAUGGAGACUGGAGCAGUUGAGGAAGGCUGGCCGGCCUUCCUUUGGUGGCAUCCGUGGUACUAAGUGGUCACUAGGCAGUCACUGCACGGGGCAGGGUGCCCUCUGCUGGAAUAACCGCCGUUAUUCUUUCAGCCAAGUCAUUUGACCAGGGUCCCCGUUUCCUCAACUAAUUAUUGGCCUGUCAACUAGUUAUUGGCCUGUCCUCAUACAGUUUCCCCAAUAGUUGAGAACUUGGCCCACAUUUAUGCAAAGGGGAAGGAGUGUCACAAGCUCAGAAGCGUUGAAGAAGAGCCCCACGGAAGAGCUCACCGCCUGCAGCCCUUUCUGCAAAAUGUCAAAGCGUGUUGUUGGCUGUGUUUGCAGAGAAGAUGCCUCUGGCCCCAACAUCGUAAGGCAGGGGCCCGAGUGUUUUGUGACUUAUCUCCACUCUCUUCUUGUCAAAUCACAAAGGAAGAUCAAUAAACAGACGUCUUUCAUAUGAAUGUCAAUGGUGUGACACACUGGUGUGUUUUGUACGUGUACAUAAUAACACAUUUACUUCCUGCUUUCGCGUUAGUAAUCCGAAAUGGUUGUACCAUUUUAUAACUCGGAAGAGAUGUAGGGGUAGGGGAGGGUUGGGGGGAGCUGGUAUUUUUAUAGCAGGGUGUCCCCCUUCUAUUUAGAAAACUUGAAGCAAUUUUGUACUUGUGAAAAAGUCACAUUCCAUUCAUUUCCCAAAAAAUAAGGGGACUUGUUCUCUAAACUAUUCGUGAGCUGGGAGGAUGAUUAUUCUAGUUUCCAGGGGAGCCUCCUGAGCAGUGUAUAUGUGACACCCACUUUUAUAGAUUGCAGACCAUGACCAGCAAAAAUUGCCAUUUCAGUAAUGUGAAAACCAAAAAAAAAAAAAACUCUUUUAGCCCCUUUGUAUAUACCACAUUGUUAUUUUCACUGAAAAGAAAAAGUGCUACAAAGAAUUUAUCAUUAUAAAAAUAUUCAGAAAUGGCACCAUAAAUCAACCUCUAGUUUAAUUUCCCUGCUAGCAAGAAAGAAAUCCGAUGGAUUUAUGUUCCUCCCUAAACAUGAAUUUGUGUGCUUUUGUCUUAUAACAAAUGAUGUCGCGGGUAGAAUUUGACUUUGUUUUCUCUACGAGGUCUUUGUGGCCCGUCUGCAGGUCAUACGCGGCGGUGCCAUCAUGCUCUUACCUGUCCCCCUCCCUAGUCAGGUCAUGGGACGGCUUCCUGGAUUUAUUUGCCACAUGACUCAAAGAUCACAAAAAUUAUCCCUGAUGGCAUUUGCACGGGUAGCUUUUAAUUUAGACUUUGGUUAGCUCUUAAGUGCGGAGAAAUUUCGUAGUGGAUUAUGUAGCCUUUUUACCAAAACAUCAUCUUCUGUACAAAGUCACAGGUAUAUUUAAAUGGUUGGUCAAGGAGAUGUAGUUGGUUCGGGGGUUUUGUGGGGAGAAAUCUCUUUCUCUUUCCUUUUUCCGCUCCACAGGCACCUACCUUACUCCUUCCAGAGCACUUUAUCUCUCUCUUGAAAUACACAGAAGUUUAAAAAAACAAAAAACAAAAAAAAA